UCCUCAUAAUGGUCCCUAUUUCUAACUUUUAGUACUAUAAGAAAAUGAGCUCUAAUUUAGGUGCAGCCCUAGCUGUCGUCUUUUGCCAUUUGCUUCCAAGAGUUCCCAACUACAUCCAAUUUAUCUUUUCUUUGAAUUCCCAGUUCUUCAAGCUUUCUAUUAGAAUGCAUGUGAGUUAUUUUGCGGCAGCCAACUCGAAAGAGGACACGUGAUAUGAGUGGAUAAGCAAUUGUUCAUCGACAAUUGUAGUGAUCAUAUGACAUUUAAGUUUCGCUGCUAAGGGGAAGGGGGUGUUGUCAUUGUUGAUGCAUCUAUGGAGGAGCAAACAUGGAAGAAGGUACUUGUAAAAGCGUCUUGUAAUACAAUGUUAUGCUUCACUUGAGUAUCUUCACCCAAAAGAAUAAAUGUGGUUGCUGGAAGGCAUCUAUUUUUUCUUAUAAUUCAGAUAUUUAGACGACUUAAUUUUACUUAAUGUAUAUUGUUUAUUUUCCCCUUUUAGUUUUUCGUCUUUAAUUUGUUCUUUUUAUAUUAUUUUAUUUAUGUAAGCAAUAGUUUUCCUUUUUCUUUAGUUUUUGUGGGUGUGCUUAUUAGAGAUGUGAUAAGAUAGGGAUGUUAAAUGGUAAA
Long non-coding RNA from Nicotiana tabacum (common tobacco), 624 nucleotides. RefSeq lists it as uncharacterized. The record is from RefSeq and is a predicted model, not a curated record. NCBI's taxonomy places the organism in Eukaryota, Viridiplantae, Streptophyta, Magnoliopsida, Solanales, Solanaceae.